GGUCAAGUUAUUAAGGGUGCAGGGCGGAUGCCUUGGCACUAGGAGCCGAUGAAGGACGUGAUAAGCUGCGAUAAGCUUCGGGGAGUUGCACGUAAACUUUGAUCCGAAGAUUUCCGAAUGAGGAAACUCACUUAGAGUAAUGUCUAAGUAUCAUUAAGUGAAUACAUAGCUUAAUGAGGGGAACUCAGGGAACUGAAACAUCUAAGUACCUGAAGGAAGAGAAAGAAAUUCGAUUCCGUAAGUAGCGGCGAGCGAACGCGGAUUAGCCCAAACCAAUAAAGUUUUCUUUAUUGGGGUUGCGGACAUAUCAUAACGAAGAGGUAUCGUAAUUGAAGAGGUUUGGAAAGACCCACCACAGAAGGUAAUAGUCCUGUAUGUUAAACGAGAAGACUUUAGAUAUGAUCCAGAGUACCACGGGACACGUGAAACCCUGUGGGAAGCAGGAGGGACCACCCUCCAAGGCUAAAUACUACCUAGUGACCGAUAGCGUAUAGUACCGUGAGGGAAAGGUGAAAAGAACCCCGGGAGGGGAGUGAAAUAGAACCUGAAACCCUGCACUUACAAGCUGUGGAAGCACAUUUCUUGUGUGACCGCGUACUUUUUGUAGAACGGGCCAACGAGUUACGUUAAGUAGCAAGGUUAAGCACUUAAGGUGCGGAGCCGUAGCGAAAGCGAGUUUUAACUGAGCGUUCAGUUA
RNAcentral lists this ribosomal RNA (697 nucleotides) under Clostridioides difficile. RNAcentral describes it as "partial 23S ribosomal RNA". It matches the Rfam family "Bacterial large subunit ribosomal RNA", at positions 1 to 702 of the family's 2925-position model. Lineage: Bacteria; Bacillati; Bacillota; Clostridia; Peptostreptococcales; Peptostreptococcaceae. The record is from RNAcentral.